RNAcentral lists this ribosomal RNA (504 nucleotides) under uncultured bacterium. Its description in RNAcentral is "partial 16S ribosomal RNA". It matches the Rfam family "Bacterial small subunit ribosomal RNA", at positions 30 to 523 of the family's 1533-position model. The record is from RNAcentral.
AUUGAACGCUGGCGGCAGGCCUAACACAUGCAAGUCGAACGGUAGCACAGAGAGCUUGCUCUCGGGUGACGAGUGGCGGACGGGUGAGUAAUGUCUGGGAAACUGCCCGAUGGAGGGGGAUAACUACUGGAAACGGUAGCUAAUACCGCAUAACGUCGCAAGACCAAAGUGGGGGACCUUCGGGCCUCACACCAUCGGAUGUGCCCAGAUGGGAUUAGCUAGUAGGUGGGGUAAUGGCUCACCUAGGCGACGAUCCCUAGCUGUUCUGAGAGGAUGACCAGCCACACUGGAACUGAGACACGGUCCAGACUCCUACGGGAGGCAGCAGUGGGGAAUAUUGCACAGUGGGCGCAAGCCUGAUGCAGCCAUGCCGCGUGUAUGAAGAAGGCCUUCGGGUUGUAAAGUACUUUCAGCGGGGAGGAAGGCGGUGAAGUUAAUAACUUCACCGAUUGACGUUACCCGCAGAAGAAGCACCGGCUAACUCCGUGCCAGCCGCCGCUGUAA